Molecule: small nuclear RNA, 172 nt
Organism: Cavia porcellus (domestic guinea pig)
Lineage: Eukaryota; Metazoa; Chordata; Mammalia; Rodentia; Caviidae
Rfam family: U2 spliceosomal RNA
About the family: U2 is a small nuclear RNA (snRNA) component of the spliceosome (involved in pre-mRNA splicing).
Source: Rfam
ACCACUGUGCCCAGCCACAUGGGAUCUUAUCACUUUCACACCUGGCACAUCCUCCACUUGAGGACAAUAUAGUACACAGAAUUUUGGAGCUGGGAGCCAGAAUAGGAGCUUGCUCCGUAUACUCCAUGCAUAGACCUGGUAUUGCAGUAGCUACAGGAAUAGUGCCCCUCCG